This 402-nucleotide ribosomal RNA is filed under the name uncultured bacterium. RNAcentral describes it as "bacterial SSU rRNA". It matches the Rfam family "Bacterial small subunit ribosomal RNA", at positions 355 to 773 of the family's 1533-position model. The record is from RNAcentral.
UAGGGAAUAUUGCAAAAUGGGCGAAAGCCCGAUGCAGCAACGCCGCGUGGGCGAUGAAGGCCUUCGGGUCGUAAAGCCCUUUUUGAGGGGAUGAGGAAGGACAGUACCCCCAGAAUAAGCCUCGGCUAACUACGUGCCAGCAGCCGCGGUAAAACGUAGGAGGCGAGCGUUAUCCGGAUUUACUGGGCGUAAAGCGCGUGCAGGCGGAUUGGAGAGUUGGAUGUGAAAGCUCCCGGCUUAACUGGGAGAGGUCGUUCAAUACUUCCAGUCUUGAGUGCAGUAGAGGGAAGUGGAAUUCCGGGUGUAGUGGUGAAAUGCGUAGAUAUCCGGAGGAACACCAGUGGCGAAAGCGGCUUCCUGGACUGUAACUGACGCUCAGACGCGAAAGCUAGGGUAGCAAAC